This 254-nucleotide ribosomal RNA is filed under the name uncultured bacterium. Its description in RNAcentral is "partial 16S ribosomal RNA". It matches the Rfam family "Bacterial small subunit ribosomal RNA", at positions 524 to 776 of the family's 1533-position model. The record is from RNAcentral.
UACGGGGGGGGUAAGCGUUGUUCGGAUUUACUGGGCGUAAAGGGCGGGUAGGCGGCCACCGCAAGUCAGUUGUGAAAUCUCCGGGCUUAACCCGGAAAGGUCAACUGAUACUGCGGGGCUAGAGUGCAGAAGGGGCAACUGGAAUUCUCGGUGUAGCGGUGAAAUGCGUAGAUAUCGAGAGGAACACCUGUGGCGAAGGCGGCAUCCUGGACCGACAUUGACGCUGAACGGCGAAGGCUAGGGGAGCAAACGGG